RNAcentral lists this ribosomal RNA (752 nucleotides) under uncultured archaeon. Its description in RNAcentral is "bacterial SSU rRNA". It matches the Rfam family "Archaeal small subunit ribosomal RNA", at positions 35 to 762 of the family's 1478-position model. The record is from RNAcentral.
GGGACGAGACUAAAACUGCUAGUUGUGCGCACCCUAGCCACGUUGGGAGCGCAGCAAACGGCUCCGUAACACGUAGUCAAUCUAACCUUAGGACGGGGAUAACCCCCGGGAAACUGGGGCUAAUACCCGAUAGGCGAUAAAAGCCUGGAAUGGCAUUUCACCUAAAGGGUUUUAGUAACACGCUACUAAAACUGCCUAAGGAUGAGACUGCGGCCGAUCAGGUUGUUGGUGGGGUAACGGCCUACCAAGCCUAUGACCGGUACGGGCCCUGAGAGGGGGAGCCCGGAGAUGGGAACUGAGACAAGGUCCCAGACCCCACGGGGUGCAGCAGUUGCGAAACCUCUACAAUGCACGAAAGUGUGAUAGGGUUAUCCCGAGUGCCGUCCGAUGAGGAUGGCUUUUCCUCGGUGUAAGAACCCGGGGGAAUAAAGGGGGGGCAAGACUGGUGUCAGCCGCCGCGGUAAUACCAGCCCCCUAAGUGGUAGGGACGAUUAUUUGGCCUAAAGCGUCCGUAGCCGGCUUAGUGAGUCUUUCGUUAAAUCCGGCGACUUAAUCGUCGGUCUGCGAGAGAUACUGCUAGGCUUGAGGACGGGAGAGGUCGACGGUAUUCCGGGGGUAGGGGCAAAAUCCUAUAAUCCUCGGAGGACCACCAGUGGCGAAGGCGGUCGACUAGAACGUGCCUGACGGUGAUGGACGAAAGCUGGGGGAGCAAACCGGAUUAGACACCCGGGUAGUCCCAGCCGUAAACGAUG